AAUCAACGCUGGCGGCGUGCCUCAGACAUGCAAGUCGAACGAGAAAGUUUCCUUCGGGGAAUGAGUAAAGUGGCGCACGGGUGAGUAACACGUAGGUAAUCUACCUUCGGGUGGGGAAUAACCCAGGGAAACUUGGGCUAACACCGCAUAAUGCAGCGGCACCACAUGGUGACAGUUGUUAAAGCGGGGGAUUUUAGGACCUCGCGCCUGAAGAGGAGCCUGCGGCGGAUUAGCAGUUGGUAAGGUAACGGCUUACCAAGGCGACGAUCCGUAACCGGCCUGAGAGGGCGGGUCGGUCACACUGACACUGACAUACGGGUCAGACUCCUACGGGAGGCAGCAGUCGGGUAAUUUUGGGCAAUGGGCGAAAGCCUGACCCAGCAACGCCGCGUGAAGGAU
This 399-nucleotide ribosomal RNA is filed under the name uncultured bacterium. RNAcentral's name for it is "bacterial SSU rRNA". It matches the Rfam family "Bacterial small subunit ribosomal RNA", at positions 32 to 409 of the family's 1533-position model. The record is from RNAcentral.